Non-coding RNA from Misgurnus anguillicaudatus (oriental weatherfish), 231 nucleotides. The record is from RefSeq and is a predicted model, not a curated record. Lineage: Eukaryota; Metazoa; Chordata; Actinopteri; Cypriniformes; Cobitidae.
GUUGAAACACAUCUGAUCUCAUCUGAAAGCUGAUUCCAGCUACAGGUUUAAAAGUGCCCACUGUUGAAACACAUCUGAUCUCAUUUGAAAGCUGAUUCCAGCUACAGAUCUAAAAGUGUCUUCUGUUGAAACACAUCUGAUCUCUUCUGAAAGCUGAUUCCAGCUACAGAUUUAAAAGUGCCUACUGUUGAAACACAUCUGAUCUCAUCUGAAAGCUGAUUCCAGCUACAG